UCUAGAACUCGAGAUAUGGGCUGAACACUGAACAGUGUCUGGGCUGCAGGACAGAUUCAGACUUCUGUUUUGAUGCUAAUAUUUGGAUUUCCAAACAAUAGAAUUGAGUCUUGAACUCUUCUAAAUGUUUUAGGCCUAUGUCUUAGCUUUCUAGC
Molecule: non-coding RNA, 155 nt
Organism: Populus trichocarpa (black cottonwood)
Lineage: Eukaryota; Viridiplantae; Streptophyta; Magnoliopsida; Malpighiales; Salicaceae
Source: Rfam